This 423-nucleotide unclassified non-coding RNA is filed under the name uncultured Sebacina. RNAcentral's name for it is "sequence contains ITS2". The stretch from base 1 to 154 matches the Rfam family "5.8S ribosomal RNA". The record is from RNAcentral. Lineage: Eukaryota; Fungi; Basidiomycota; Agaricomycetes; Sebacinales; Sebacinaceae.
AACUUUCGGCAAUGGAUCUCUUGGCUCUCGCAUCGAUGAAGAACGCAGCGAAAUGCGAUAAGUAAUGUGAAUUGCAGAAUUCAGUGAAUCAUCGCAUCUUUGAACGCACCUUGCACCCUUUGGAAUUCCGAAGGGUAUGCUCGUUUGAGUGCCAUUGUACUCUCACACUCCUCUGAUCCUUUGGAUUCGGGGAGCGUUGUACUUGCAUGUUUGCUGCUUUCCUUGUGGUUCGCCUCAAAUGCGUCAGUGCACCUCUUGGUUGGACAUAGUACUGCGUGAUAAGUGGCUUCGCCGGCACCUCGCAAGAGGGUGGCCGAUCGAGAGCUCUGUGCUUUCAAACCGUCUUCGGACACUUUCUGACAACUUGACCUCGAAUCGAGUAGGACUACCCGCUGAACUUAAGCAUAUCAAUAAGCGGAGGCU